GACGUAGGGCGCGAGCGUUGUCCGGAUUUAUUGGGCGUAAAGAGCUCGUAGGCGGCUCGUUGCGUCGGCUGUGAAAACCCGCAGCUCAACUGUGGGCUUGCAGCUGAUACGGGCGGGCUGGAGUUCGGUAGGGGAGACUGGAAUUCCUGGUGUAGCGGUGGAAUGCGUAGAAAUCAGCAGGAACACCCGUGGCGAAGGCGGCUUCCUGGAUCACCCCUGACGCUGAGACGCGAAAGCGUGGGGAGCGAACGGG
Molecule: ribosomal RNA, 253 nt
Filed under: uncultured bacterium
Lineage: Bacteria
Description: partial 16S ribosomal RNA
Rfam family: Bacterial small subunit ribosomal RNA
Source: RNAcentral